GGGGCUCCUCGGACUCUC
RNAcentral lists this microRNA (18 nucleotides) under Ananas comosus (pineapple). Its description in RNAcentral is "microRNA s0365_c39a". The record is from RNAcentral. Lineage: Eukaryota; Viridiplantae; Streptophyta; Magnoliopsida; Poales; Bromeliaceae.